Molecule: ribosomal RNA, 774 nt
Filed under: uncultured Neocallimastigales
Lineage: Eukaryota; Fungi; Neocallimastigomycota; Neocallimastigomycetes; Neocallimastigales
Description: partial large subunit ribosomal RNA
Rfam family: Eukaryotic large subunit ribosomal RNA
Source: RNAcentral
GUAGUCUCGCACAGAUGCAUAUCAAUAAGCGGAGGAAAAGAAACUAACAAGGAUUCCCUUAGUAACGGCGAGUGAAGCGGGAAGAGCUCAAAUUUGAAAUCUUCAAGGUUCUACCUUGACGAAUUGUAGUUUAAAGAAGUGUUUUCUGUUAGAUGAGUAGCAAAAGUUCCUUGGAAUGGGACAUCAUAGAGGGUGAGAAUCCCGUAUUUGGUUAUUCAUUCUAGCUUUGUGAUACACUUUCAAAGAGUCGGAUUGUUUGGGAAUGCAGUCCAAAAUGGGUGGUAAAUUUCAUCUAAAACUAAAUAUUGGCGAGAGAACGAUAGCGAACAAGUACCGUGAGGGAAAGAUGAAAAGAACUUUGAAAAGAGAGUUAAACAGUACGUGAAAUUGUCAAAAGGGAAGCGUUUGACACCAGUGUUGUUUUUCUGAAAAUCAAUUAAAGAACUGUUUAUGCUAAGUUGUUUAGACUUUAUCAGCUAACUGUUUAGUUUUGAGCUUUUCUUUAAUGCACUUUUCAGUUAACAAGUCAACAUCAAUUUCUUUUGCUGUAAAAAAGCUUGAGGAAGGUGGCUUGAGAUUCGUCUUAAGUGUUUAUAGCCUCUUGCCUAUGCAGUCGGAGAGAUUGAGGUCUGCAGCGUAGAUCCUUCGGGGCUAAAUGCAUUUGUGCUAAGUUAUAGCAUUUUAUAGACAACUUGUUGACUAUAAUUUGUCUUGUAGCUUACUCGCUUAUGUUAUUUUACCUACGCUUAGGAUGUUGAACUCUAUCACACACAG